Molecule: long non-coding RNA, 3311 nt
Filed under: Ananas comosus (pineapple)
Lineage: Eukaryota; Viridiplantae; Streptophyta; Magnoliopsida; Poales; Bromeliaceae
Description: long non-coding RNA (ACOM_LNC017358)
Source: RNAcentral
UUUAACAUUAAAAUUUAUAUUAAAAUACAAAAAAAAAAUUCUGUAAAUAAUUAUUUUUUAUUUUUUUGAUUUUAAAAGAUUUAUAUUUUGUCUGCUUAAAAUUUCAGAUUUGUUUUAAGACAGUUACGGCAUUAACCAACUAGGUGAAAUGACAAAACUACCGUUAUUCAUUCUGGAGAGAAAAAAUAAUUUUUAAUAUAUUUUCAGCAUUUUUAAUCACGUAUUCUGUAUAUCUAGUUAUGAAUUAUAAGAAAUAGAUGGAAAAGUGACGGAACGCUGACGGUAGGAACCAAGUGUAUAAACUUGAAAUUUUGAGAACCAAAAAUGAAAAUUUUUGAAAAUUAGUAGAAGAAGGUGAAAAGACGAAUAUUUAUAGAAAAAUAUUCUGUAUUACUCUAAAAUUUAACUAGUGCUUUACGGCCGCAUUAUAGACAAUUAUUGAUUUUUUUUAUUUUACUUGAUGUUACUGUAAUAAGUUUUUCCCCAUAUCUUGUUAUCUUUUUAGGAAAAACUUCAAAAAACCUCCUGUGGUUUCGCACUUUCUCACUUUAGUAUCCUGUGGUUUAAAGUAUAUCAAUUUGCCCUUCUGUGGUUUUAUUUUUAUCUUUUCGGCGGCUUUUUUCUUAAUAUUUUGUUAAAUUAUAUACAAAAAACUUCAGAUACUCAUCUAGAUUUAUCGAAUAUUUAUUUUAGUAUCCUUUAAUUUUAACUUUGUAACUUAUUUAAGAAAAAAUAAUAAUAAAAUUGAUAAUAAAAAGAAAAAAACGAAACCAUAGGGAGACAAAUUGAUACACUUUAACGGUACUAAAAUAAAAAAGUGCGAAACCACCUGGUGAUUUCUGAAGUUAUCCCUUUUUUUUUUUAUAUAUAUAGUCCCUUUACUGUUCUAGAUCACAUUAGUUGAAUUGGGCUCGGGUUUUAAAAGUUACUCGUAAAAAAACUACGUGGAAAUAAUUGCAUAAGGGAAUUAAUUAUUGGCUCCACCUUUUGUAUUUACAUGGUCUAUGCAUAGAAAUUAAAAAAAAAAAAAAAAAUUGACAUUGGUUCCUUAUAAUUAAUUCCCUGUAACACAAUAUAUUUUUACCUUGCCACCUUGUCGUUCAAAAAAUUGCACUCUUUUCUCCUAUAUUAAAUAGCAAAUAUAUUACUACAAAGUUUAACUUUUUAUUUUUAUCUCGGCAAAAGUCCAGUAAUAUUCAUAUUUGCCCCUCUAGUUUGUUACCGUUAGAGUAUUGUUUAUUUAUUUUAACAGAAGAUAAGAAAAAUAACAUUUUUACCCUUACGAAUAUAUCCCUCCAAAAAUUUCCAGAAAUGCCCUCCCAAAAAAUAUUUUAUCCAAUAAUAUAAGAAAAGUAAAAAUAUCAAUUUAACUCAUCCACUAAUCAUGGUUAAAUAUUUUACUCAUGGUUAACGAUAUUUUUUUUAACGGAUCCUAACAGUGGGGAUAUAUUUAAAAACGGUUGGACUUUUUUGCAGGAAUGAAAAUAAAAAAGUUAAACUUUAUAGGAAUAUAUUUGUUAUUCGAUAUGUUUACAGGGAGCUGUAUGCAAUUAGUCCAAAUUUUUAUGUCCAAUGAGGUGGCAAAGUAAAAAAAUUUUGAAAAUAAUUAUAGGACGACAAAAUGAAAAAUGAGCUAAAUCAUAGAGUAGUUAAGUGUAACUUUUUGAACCAUAGGAUGGAAAAAUAAAAAUAAGUUAGGCAAUUUAAAGUUUAUCCUUUUCAAAAUUCAUAAUGUUUCAAAUGUAGGAUCAUACAUAUAAAGGUGCGGUGCAUAGAGUGUACGUGUACACUGGGUACAGGCAAUUGUUUCUCAUAGCACAAAAUGCGCGGUGAUUUGGUUACACAUAAAGCUACUACAAAUAAUUUUAUUGAAACAUUAAAUUAUAGAAAAAAAAAAAUUAGCACUCAAUGGUUUUAAUCAUCUUAUGGACAAAUAAAACUGAAUCAACCUACAGCUAAGGAGCUGUUCAAUGCAGCGUACUCAGUAUCGACAGAAUAAUUAUUGCUUCAUAUUAUCUAACAUAAUAUCAGAAUGAGAGAUUUCAAAUUUGAAUCCCACUGGACCCUUGCCUCAUAAUUUCCACUUAUUUAACUCAACGUAUGUACUUCAAGGCAGAAGCAUUAGAGCAUAUAAAAAAAGAUUCAAGCCCAACCAUACGAAGGAAUGCUGAACAUAAUUAUUAAAAAAAAUAUCAUUAUGUAACAAUUUAAGCUUUUAAUAGAGAUAGCUGGUUGUUUCGCAAUUUUUAACAAGGUAUAUAAUACGUAGCAAAGAUAUAUAAAAUGGGGGCAGUAGUUUCUCGAAUGUUUCUGAGAAAAAGAGAGGAAAUGAAAUUGAAGUUUCAUAGAGAAGACUUAUACAAGUCAAAGUGCAAGAAAUUUGUCCCCCUUCCGUAACUACCAACCAAACUCAAUUAUUGCAUAUAACUACAUCAUAUACACGGCAUUUCUAAAAGUCCUUGGUAGAGAUUUUAACAUUAAAAUUUAUAUUAAAAUACAAAAAAAAAAUUCUGUAAAUAAUUAUUUUUUAUUUUUUUGAUUUUAAAAGAUUUAUAUUUUGUCUGCUUAAAAUUUCAGAUUUGUUUUAAGACAGUUACGGCAUUAACCAACUAGGUGAAAUGACAAAACUACCGUUAUUCAUUCUGGAGAGAAAAAAUAAUUUUUAAUAUAUUUUCAGCAUUUUUAAUCACGUAUUCUGUAUAUCUAGUUAUGAAUUAUAAGAAAUAGAUGGAAAAGUGACGGAACGCUGACGGUAGGAACCAAGUGUAUAAACUUGAAAUUUUGAGAACCAAAAAUGAAAAUUUUUGAAAAUUAGUAGAAGAAGGUGAAAAGACGAAUAUUUAUAGAAAAAUAUUCUGUAUUACUCUAAAAUUUAACUAGUGCUUUACGGCCGCAUUAUAGACAAUUAUUGAUUUUUUUUAUUUUACUUGAUGUUAGUGUAAUAAGUUUUUUCCCAAAUCUUGUUUUUUUUUUUUAGGAAAAACUUCAAAAAACCCCCUGUGGUUUCGCACUUUCUCACUUUAGUAUCCUGUGGUUUAAAGUGUAUCAAUUUGCCCUCCUGUAGUUUUAUUUUUAUCUUUUCGGCAGCUUUUUUCUUAAUAUUUCGUUAAAUUAUAUACAAAAAACUUCAGAUACUCAUCUAGAUUUAUCGAAUAUUUAUUUUAGUAUCCUUUAAUUUUAACUUUGUAACUGAUUUAAGAAAAAAUAAUAAUAAAAUUGAUAAUACAAAGAGAAAAACGAAACCAUAGGGAGGCAAAUUUAUAGACUUUAACGGUACUAAAGUAAAAAAGUGCGAAACCAUAGGGUGAUUU